Molecule: ribosomal RNA, 497 nt
Filed under: uncultured bacterium
Lineage: Bacteria
Description: partial 16S ribosomal RNA
Rfam family: Bacterial small subunit ribosomal RNA
Source: RNAcentral
GAUGAACGCUGGCGGCGUGCCUAAUGCAUGCAAGUCGAGCGAACAGACGAGGAGCUUGCUCCUCUGACGUUAGCGGCGGACGGGUGAGUAACACGUGGAUAACCUACCUAUAAGACUGGGAUAACUUCGGGAAACCGGAGCUAAUACCGGAGAAUAUAUUGAACCGCAUGGUUCAAUAGUGAAAGACGGUUUUGCUGUCACUUCUAGAUGGAUCCGCGCGGCAUUAGCUAGUUGGUAAGGAAACGGCUUACCAAGGCGACGAGGCGUAGCCGACCUGAGAGGGUGAUCGGCGACACUGGAAGUGGAACACGGUCCAGACUCCUACGGUAGGCAGCAGUAGGCAAUCUUCCGCAAUGGGCGAAAGCCUGACGCAGCGACCCCGCGUGAGUGAUGAAGGUCUUCCGAUCGUAAAACUCUGUUAUUAGGGAAGAACAAAUGUGUAAGUAACUAUGCACGUCUUGACGGUACCUAAUCAGAAAGCCACGGCUAACUACGUG